This 438-nucleotide ribosomal RNA is filed under the name uncultured bacterium. RNAcentral's name for it is "bacterial SSU rRNA". It matches the Rfam family "Bacterial small subunit ribosomal RNA", at positions 339 to 794 of the family's 1533-position model. The record is from RNAcentral.
UUACGGGAGGCAGCAGUGGGGAAUAUUGCGCAAUGGGGGAAACCCUGACGCAGCAACGCCGCGUGGAGGAAGAAGGUCUUCGGAUUGUAAACUCCUGUCUUCUGGGACGAUAAUGACGGUACCAGAGGAGGAAGCCACGGCUAACUACGUGCCAGCAGCCGCGGUAAUACGUAGGUGGCGAGCGUUGUCCGGAAUUACUGGGCGUAAAGGGCGCGUAGGCGGCUCUUUAAGUUAGAUGUGAAAACCCAGGGCUUAACUCUGGGACUGCAUUUAAAACUGAAGGGCUCGAGUGCAGGAGAGGUAAGUGGAAUUCCUAGUGUAGCGGUGAAAUGCGUAGAUAUUAGGAGGAACACCAGUGGCGAAGGCGACUUACUGGACUGUAACUGACGCUGAGGCGCGAAAGCGUGGGGAGCAAACAGGAUUAGAUACCCUGGUAGC